Molecule: unclassified non-coding RNA, 298 nt
Filed under: Hevea brasiliensis (rubber tree)
Lineage: Eukaryota; Viridiplantae; Streptophyta; Magnoliopsida; Malpighiales; Euphorbiaceae
Source: RNAcentral
CACAAACCAAGAACAAGUGAAAUUGAAAAAUGCCUACCUUGAAUCUUUUCACUAACCUACCUGUGGAUGCAGUUACCACCUCUGAUAUUCUCAAGGAUGCCACCAAAGCUGUUUCUAGAAUUAUUGGCAAGCCUGAAUCCUAUGUGAUGAUUGUGCUGAAUGGAGGAGUGCCUAUUGCAUUUGCCGGCACUGAAGAACCAGCUGCAUACGGAGAGUUGAUCUCAAUUGGAGGCCUUGGGCCAAGUGUUAAUGGAAAAUUGAGUUCAACUAUUGCAGAAAUCCUUCAAACAAAGCUCUU